Molecule: ribosomal RNA, 833 nt
Filed under: Candidatus Kuenenia stuttgartensis
Lineage: Bacteria; Pseudomonadati; Planctomycetota; Candidatus Brocadiia; Candidatus Brocadiales; Candidatus Brocadiaceae
Description: bacterial SSU rRNA
Rfam family: Bacterial small subunit ribosomal RNA
Source: RNAcentral
GGAUUAGGCAUGCAAGUCGAACGCGAAAGCCCGCAAGGGUGAGUAGAGUGGCGCAAGGGUGAGUAAUGCAUAGGUAACCUACCCGCGAGAUCGGGAUAACCUCGCUUCGGGCAACCGAAGCUACCGAAAGGGGGGCUAAUACCGGAUGACACCACGGAGUCGAAUGGCUCUGUGUUCAAAGCGGGGGACCGGGUAACACCGGCCUCGCACUCGCGGAGGGGCUUAUGUCCUAUCAGCUAGUUGGUGGGGUAAUGGCCUACCAAGGCGACGACGGGUAGCCGAUCUUAGCGGAUGACCGGCCACACUGGGACUGAGACACUGCCCAGACUCCUACGGGAGGCUGCAGUCGAGAAUCUUCUGCAAUGGGCGAAAGCCUGACAGAGCGACGCCGCGUGGAGGAAGAAGGCCUUCGGGUUGUAAACUCCUGUCACAGGUUAAGAAGAGUGUUCUGCCUAAUAGGCGGGACUUUCGGACAAAGGCCUGAGAGGAAGCCACGGCUAACUCUGUGCCAGCAGCCGCGGUAAGACAGAGGUGGCAAGCGUUGUUCGGAACCAUUGGGCGUAAAGGGCGCGUAGGCGGUGGCAUAAGUCGGUGGUGAAAUCCCUCGGCUCAACCGGGGCAUUGCUUCCGAUACUAUGUCGCUUGAGUACGGGAGGGGAGAGUGGAACUUCUGGUGGAGCGGUGAAAUGCGUAGAUAUCAGAAGGAACGCCGGAGGCGAAGGCGGCUCUCUGGACCGUUACUGACGCUGAGGCGCGAAAGCUAGGGGAGCAAAUGGGAUUAGAUACCCCAGUAGUCCUAGCCGUAAACGAUGGGCACUAAGUAGAGGGGUUUU